GACGAACGCUGGCGGCGUGCUUAACACAUGCAAGUCGAACGGAAAGGCCCUGCUUUUGUGGGGUGCUCGAGUGGCGAACGGGUGAGUAACACGUGAGUAACCUGCCCUUGACUUUGGGAUAACUUCAGGAAGCUGGGGCUAAUACCGGAUAGGAGCUCCUGCUGCAUGGUGGGGGUUGGAAAGUUUCGGCGGUUGGGGAUGGACUCGCGGCUUAUCAGCUUGUUGGUGGGGUAGUGGCUUACCAAGGCUUUGACGGAUAGCCGGCAUGAGAGGGUGACCGGCCACAAUGGGACUGAGAGACGGCCCAGACUCCUACGGGAGGCAGCAGUGGAGAAUAUUGCACAAUGGGCGGAAGCCUGAGGCAGCGACGCCGCGUGCGGGAUGACGGCCUUCUGGUUGUAAACCGCUUUCGCCUGUGACGAAGCGUGAGUGACGGUAAUGGGUAAAGAAGCACCGGCUAACUACGUG
Molecule: ribosomal RNA, 468 nt
Filed under: uncultured bacterium
Lineage: Bacteria
Description: partial 16S ribosomal RNA
Rfam family: Bacterial small subunit ribosomal RNA
Source: RNAcentral